UACGGAAGGCAGCAGUGGGGAAUAUUGCACAAUGGGCGAAAGCCUGAUGCAGCUAUGCCGCGUGUAUGAAGAAGGCCUUAGGGUUGUAAAGUACUUUCAUCGGGGAGGAAAAAACAAAACUAAUAAUUUUAUUUCUUGACGUUACCCGAAAAAGAAGCACCGGCUAACUCCGUGCCAGCAGCCGCGGUAAUACGGAGGGUGCUAGCGUUAAUCAGAAUUACUGGGCGUAAAGAGCACGUAGGUGGUUUUUUAAGUCAGAUGUGAAAUCCCUGGGCUUAACCUAGGAACUGCAUUUUGAAACUGAAAUACUAGAGUAUCGUAGAGGGAGGUAGAAUUCUAGGUGUAGCGGUGAAAUGCGUAGAUAUCUGGAGGAAUACCUGUGGCGAAAGCGGCCUCCUAAACGAAUACUGACACUGAGGUGCGAAAGCGGUGGGGAGCAAACGAGGAUUAGAUACC
RNAcentral lists this ribosomal RNA (456 nucleotides) under uncultured bacterium. RNAcentral describes it as "bacterial SSU rRNA". It matches the Rfam family "Bacterial small subunit ribosomal RNA", at positions 340 to 786 of the family's 1533-position model. The record is from RNAcentral.